Pieris napi is the source of this 800-nucleotide long non-coding RNA. RefSeq lists it as uncharacterized. The record is from RefSeq and is a predicted model, not a curated record. The transcript has 3 exons. Lineage: Eukaryota; Metazoa; Arthropoda; Insecta; Lepidoptera; Pieridae.
CCGGGCUGCCGUGUUUUCCCGAUUCUCCUUGAGGGCCACGAGCCCCUGACGGUCCGAGGCCUCCUUGUAGACCAGGGCUCCCAUCACGACCGGGGGGACCUACAAUUAUUUGGAGGACCCAUAGGUCCGGGUAAUCCUCUAUCGCCAGAUCUACCUGGCGCACCAACAAUCCCUGGUAACCCAGGUAUUCCCGCAUGGCCUUUAGCCCCGUCUGCACCUGCUUCCCCUCUUUCACCUUUGGCUCCGUCUAGGCCAGGAAUGCCUUGUUUUCCUGCAGGGCCUUGAGGUCCUUCAACUCCAGAAGGUCCUGACUCCCCUCUUGGACCUCUUUCUCCACUCGGACCAGGUGGGCCACCUGGGCCAGGAGGUCCCUAAAUUUUAAGGUGCACCAGAAGAACCGGGUUGGCCAGAUUGUCCCAUUGGACCCUUGUCUCCCAUACGCCCAGGUAUACCUGGCUGGCCCAUUUUACCAGGACGGCCCUCAGGCCCUGGCUCACCCAUGGGUCCAGGUGAUCCUUGUGGCCCAGGACUGCCUACAGGUCCAGGAGCGCCGUCAUUUCCAGAUUUUCCCGGAGAACCACUUUCACCCUAUUUUAGUAAUUCAUAAGUUUUUAUUACUUAUAACGCUUUCUCAAUGUUACUUUAUAAAAAAAAAUUAUUACAUGCACAAGAGCAUGUUUUAGUCGCCUUUUAUCCUCCUUACUGUGGUGAACGCAUUAAAUAUUUAUGUUUUAAAAAUUUCUCCGCAAUACACGUCAAAGUUGCGCCUGAGAAGUAAACGUUAGCUUUUUGUGAACUAU